This 440-nucleotide small RNA is filed under the name Arabidopsis thaliana (thale cress). Its description in RNAcentral is "ATSL201490". Lineage: Eukaryota; Viridiplantae; Streptophyta; Magnoliopsida; Brassicales; Brassicaceae. The record is from RNAcentral.
GAAAUCAUUUUAGAGAACAUAAACGUUGAACAUAAUGAAAACAUGAUAACAACAGUGUAAUAGCAAAAUGAUAACAGGAUGAACAACAGUAAACGAAAUCAAAAACAAAAGCUGAAUACUGAAUAGAUUAAGAGAAAUCCGGAUUACAAAAUGUCAAGAACACAGUGUCUGCGGAAUAAAACUUAGAUAAACGAAAAUGUAAAGUACAUGCUACUUAUAGCGAAAUAUUUCCGAAACCCUAAUACUCAAAACGACGCAGUAUUGGGACGGAUUAAAAACGGUACUUGACCCAGGUGGUCGAGUGAGUGGUGGAGUGAUAAGCUGGAGUCUUCUUUUCUUCCUUGUUCUCGAGUGUCUGGUUGAGUGCGCAAUGGAGAAGACUCUGAAGCUGGCCAUCGAGUAUGUAGUCGAGUGAUGGUGAUGGUGAUACUCGACUUCCU